GACGAACGCUGGCGGCAUGCCUAACACAUGCAAGUCGAACGGUAAGGCCCUCUUCGGAGGGUACACGAGUGGCGAACGGGUGAGUAACACGUGGGUAACCUGCCCUUCACUGGGGGACAACCGAGGGAAACUUCGGCUAAUACCGCAUGAUGUGCAUCCUCAUGAGGGGAUGUACCAAAACUCCGGUGGUGAAGGAUGGG
This 200-nucleotide ribosomal RNA is filed under the name uncultured bacterium. Its description in RNAcentral is "partial 16S ribosomal RNA". It matches the Rfam family "Bacterial small subunit ribosomal RNA", at positions 28 to 229 of the family's 1533-position model. The record is from RNAcentral.